AAAAGAAACCAACAGGGAUUGCCUUAGUAGCGGCGAGUGAAGCGGCAAAAGCUCAAAUUUGAAAUCCUUCGGGAGUUGUAAUUUGUAGGUUUGGAUAUGGAGUGAGUAAAAAGUUGCCUGGAACGGCACGCCACAGAGGGUGAUAGCCCCGUUACGCUCUUCCGUUGUAUAUCCUUUCCAAAGAGUCGAGUUGUUUGGGAAUGCAGCUCAAAGUGGGUGGUAAAUUCCAUCUAAAGCUAAAUAUUGGCGAGAGACCGAUAGCGAACAAGUACUGUGAAGGAAAGAUGAAAAGAACUUUGAAAAGAGAGUGAAAAAGUACGUGAAAUUGUUGAAAGGGAAGGGUAUUGUAUUAGAAGUGAAUGUCUGGUUCAAGCAUCCUUUGGGGUGCCCUAUUCCAGCCAUUCGUGUUUGGGUAGAGGAGCUAGGGAAGAUAAACUGUUUCGCCUCGGCGUCUCAUUCUAUUCCCUUGGUUCCUUCCCUCAAACGUAAUGAUCCAAUACCACCCGUCU
RNAcentral lists this ribosomal RNA (509 nucleotides) under [Candida] sp. Its description in RNAcentral is "partial large subunit ribosomal RNA". It matches the Rfam family "Eukaryotic large subunit ribosomal RNA", at positions 57 to 654 of the family's 3401-position model. Lineage: Eukaryota; Fungi; Ascomycota; Saccharomycetes; Saccharomycetales. The record is from RNAcentral.